GGAAGGGAGUCGGAGACACAACAAAGAUGGCGGCGGCGACUGCGACGGUGACGAAGACGGCGGCGGCGGCGACGGCGUUGAACAAGGCGGUGUGGUUUACUCGAUGCAGUUGUCAGGAGACCUCUGUAUGGCUUUUCAAUUUUAGUUGAAAUUCUCUCUCCAUGGCCUUUUGGAGUCCCUUGCUGUAUCUCCAGAGUAAAUUUCAAUUACUCUACAUUUCAUCAAUGUUGGAGUGGCAAGAAAAAGGAGGAACAGAUUUGGGGUGAAAAGUUUUGUUUUCUAGGUAUAACAAACUGUAAAUGUUAAAAAAGCAAAGAUGGGUGAAAAAAAACCAGAGCCUUUGGACUUCGUGAAAGAUUUUCAGGAAUACCUGACUCAGCAGACCCAUCAUGUGAACAUGAUUUCUGGAUCAGUUAGUGGGGACAAAGAAGCAGAGGCUCUUCAGGGAGGUAGACUCAUUUUAAUAAUACUAAAUAAUUCACUUUUUAUACACGUACUAUGAUUGUGUGUAGCCGUUACUGUGAAGACCACUGUGCGUUAAUGUGAAUCAUUCUGUUUUUUCUGGAAAGAUACAGGGCAUUUUUUCCCCUUUUUUAAACAUAUCAGACUUCUGCUGGAGAGUACUUAACAUGGUCUGGAGAUGCAUUAUGGUCUUGUUGGAAGGUUAGGGGCUCCAAAUACCCUUCCUGUCCUCCAAUUUUUAUGAGCUAGCAU
Molecule: small RNA, 714 nt
Filed under: Pongo abelii (Sumatran orangutan)
Lineage: Eukaryota; Metazoa; Chordata; Mammalia; Primates; Hominidae
Description: processed transcript
Source: RNAcentral